Long non-coding RNA from Fukomys damarensis (Damara mole-rat), 739 nucleotides. RefSeq lists it as uncharacterized. The record is from RefSeq and is a predicted model, not a curated record. NCBI's taxonomy places the organism in Eukaryota, Metazoa, Chordata, Mammalia, Rodentia, Bathyergidae. The transcript has 3 exons.
CAGAAGUUGACAGAAGGAGGGAGAGUCCAGCCAUCUCCAAGCAACACCUGCUUGUGGGAGGGAAGCGGGGCUGGCGGAGCCUUUCCCAAACAGCUGGUGUGCAGUUGGCCGUGCUGUAGACGGGCUGUCCCAGCGAGGUGGAGAGUAAAGUCUGGACCGUAAACCUGCUGCUUCUGCGGGCAGGUUUACACUCACUGCUCAGGCCCUUGUGACUGCCAUUAAUCAUCAAACCACGGUGAUCAUGCUUUUGUGUGGGACCUUAACACUGCUAUCAAGACCCUGGGUGAGAAAUAAACUUUGCCAUUAGCCAUCAGCUUUUGGUCAUUCACUGUGUCCGCGGUGGUCUCCCCGAGCCCCCUCUAGAAGGAGACCUCAACAACCAUCCACAUAACUAUAUGGGAUGACACCGUAGUAAAGCGGCUAAUUGUGAAGCUGCCUGAAGAGGAACACAGAACAGCAACCAUCGAGGGGAUUAUAUUUAAGUGCUUGCUGCUGCAAGCCACUCCUCUUUUCUUGUUAUCUUGGUCUACUGUACAUCAGAGGGAAACCUGGCACGGAGAGGUUCCAUCGCUCAAAGGGCAGUAGAAUGGACUGAACUGGAGAAGCUUGGAGAGGUGGUGGCAGGGCUGCCCUCAUACAAGUGGCAUAGAGUUCAUGUGUAACCUACACACCUUCCUCUCUGGAAUGUCUCAUACCAGUGUAAAAGGCUGUUUAGGAAAUAAUGGCCACAAAUAAAUAC